This 437-nucleotide unclassified non-coding RNA is filed under the name uncultured Thelephoraceae. RNAcentral describes it as "sequence contains ITS2". The stretch from base 1 to 155 matches the Rfam family "5.8S ribosomal RNA". The record is from RNAcentral. Lineage: Eukaryota; Fungi; Basidiomycota; Agaricomycetes; Thelephorales; Thelephoraceae.
AACUUUCGGCAAUGGAUCACUUGGCUCUCGCAUCGAUGAAGAACGCAGCGAAAUGCGAUAAGGAAUGUGAAUUGCAGAAUUCAGUGACUCAUCGAAUCUUUGAACGCACCUUGCGCCCUCUGGCUAUUCCAGAGGGCAUGCCUGUUUGAGUAUCAUGAACACCUCAAUUCUCACGGUCUUGCCGUGUUGAGCUUGGACUUUGGGGGUCUUGCUGGCCUGUGGUCAGCUCCUCUCAAAUAAAUCAGCUCGCCAGUGUUUGGUGGCAUCACGGGUGUGAUAACUAUCUACGCUUGUGGCUUCCACCAGGUAACCUUCAGUGAUGGGGGUUCGCUGGAGCUCAUAAACGUCUCUCCUCAGCGAGGACAGCUUCUUGAACGUUUGAUCUCAAAUCAGGUAGGGCUACCCGCUGAACUUAAGCAUAUCAAUAAGCGGAGGCU